Molecule: transfer RNA, 69 nt
Filed under: Karusasaurus polyzonus
Lineage: Eukaryota; Metazoa; Chordata; Lepidosauria; Squamata; Cordylidae
Description: tRNA-Glu
Source: RNAcentral
UAAAAAAAUAGGAAUUGAACCUAUACCUGAGAACCCAAAAUUCCCCGUACUUCCAUUAUACUUUUUCCU